Molecule: ribosomal RNA, 395 nt
Filed under: uncultured bacterium
Lineage: Bacteria
Description: bacterial SSU rRNA
Rfam family: Bacterial small subunit ribosomal RNA
Source: RNAcentral
GUGUCAGCAGCCGCGGUAAGACAGAGGGUGCAAACGUUGCUCGGAAUUACUGGGCGUAAAGCGCGUGUAGGCUGACCGGAAAGUCGGGCGUGAAAUCCCUGGGCUCAACCCAGGAACUGCACUCGAAACUCCCGGUCUUGAGUGGUGGAGAGGGAAGUGGAAUUCCUGGUGUAGAGGUGAAAUUCGUAGAUAUCAGGAGGAACACCAGUGGCGAAGGCGGCUUCCUGGACACCAACUGACGCUGAGACGCGAAAGCGUGGGGAGCAAACAGGAUUAGAUACCCUGGUAGUCCACGCUGUAAACGAUGGGCACUAGGUGUCGCGGGUUUUGACCCCCGCGGUGCCGUAGCAAACGCGUUAAGUGCCCCGCCUGGGGAGUACGGCCGCAAGGCUAAA